GCCGGGAAGGGCGCCGGUUACUAGAAAGCCGGGGAGGCGGGGCCUGGUCGGGUGGAGGGCGCGGCCGGCCGGCAGAGCGCUAGCCUUAGGUCCUGGAGGCCCUUUGGCUUUCCCCCCGUAUGCCGGGGGCUAGGAGGAGGAGGAAGAGCUUCCUGCCGGAUGAGGGAUCCGGAGGCCAGAAAGGGAACCCGCUCUCCCUUCCAAAGCAAAACACUGCCGACGCCAGGUUAGAUUUUUCGGGUGUUGGCAGGAGACUUUUUCCCCCAGUGGCAUCACUCGCGUUUCCUCUCCUGGUACGGGGAGAGAAGAGUUGCAAAGGCGCCUGGACCGCCAGUAACAUCCUCUCCCAUCUCCUGAAGGAGCGCGGCUUGGGUUGCUUCUUAUUGGUGGGUGGGCCUGGGGAGACAGGGCAUGCGCCCUCGGCCGGAGGAGGGAAGCGACAGGAGGUCGGGAUUUAUUUGCUCAUUUGGAGAUUUUCCCCUGGCCUUUUAUUAAAAACCAAGUGACAGUAUAAUGGAAGAUGGGGAAUGAAGCAUCAGAAAUAAACCAGGACCCUAAUUUGCAUGGAUUUCCUCGUUGGAACAACGUGUGACUACUACUUAUCUUCGGGAAAUUACUUCCCUUGAUGCGUUAAGGCACAUUUGGUCUACAUGAGAAAGCACAUUUCAGUGCUUCUACUGGAAAAGAGAUCUGUACAGUCUUAAUUCCUAGUAAUUCCUAUGUUUUAAUGAAUAUCCUUUGGAUUUGAAAUAAAAGCCAUCUUCUUGUUUCAAAAAA
RNAcentral lists this non-coding RNA (777 nucleotides) under Pongo abelii (Sumatran orangutan). The record is from RNAcentral. Lineage: Eukaryota; Metazoa; Chordata; Mammalia; Primates; Hominidae.